RNAcentral lists this ribosomal RNA (252 nucleotides) under uncultured bacterium. RNAcentral describes it as "partial 16S ribosomal RNA". It matches the Rfam family "Bacterial small subunit ribosomal RNA", at positions 524 to 776 of the family's 1533-position model. The record is from RNAcentral.
UACGUAGGGUCCGAGCGUUGUCCGGAAUUAUUGGGCGUAAAGAGCUCGUAGGCGGCUUGUCGCGUCGAAUGUGAAAUCUCAGGGCUCAACUCUGACAUUGCAUUCGAUACGGGCAGGCUCGAGUUCGGUAGGGGAGACUGGAAUUCCUGGUGUAGCGGUGAAAUGCGCAGAUAUCAGGAGGAACACCGAUGGCGAAAGCAGAUCUCUGGGCCGUAACUGCGCUGAGGAGCGAAAGCGUGGGGAGCGAACAGG